UAUCUCUUCAUCAUUUAGAAACAAAUUUCCAUUUAGAAAAUCUAAGAAUGAAUCAUUGAUAAUUCGCCAGAUCAUUGAUACAAAAAAUAUCCAAAUACCAAAUCCGACUUCUAUAUACUCCCCACAAACUAGAAGAAGCUCGUGGGAAGGUCAAAGAAAGAACUUGUUCUUCCGACGUUAAGAAUUCUUCCAAUAAUUCCGAGCCCGAUCUUUUCAAAAAAGUGCGUACAGUACUUUUGUGUUUCCGAGCUAAAGUUCUAGCACAAGAAAGUCGAAGUAUAUACUUUAUUCGAUAUAAAGUCUUUUUUUUGGAAGAUCCGCUAUAAUAAUGAAAAAGAUUUCUGCAUAUACGCCCAAAUCGGUCAAUAAUAUCAGAAUCUGAUAAAUCGGACCAAACCGGUUUACUAAUGGGAUGCCCUAAUACGGUACAAAAGUUUGCUUUAGCUAAUGAUCCAAUCAAAGGAAUAAUUGGAACAAGGGUAUCGAACUUCUUAAUUGCAUUAUUGAUUAGAAAUGAAUUUUCUAACAUUUGACUACGUACCAUUGAAGGAUUUAGUCGCACACUUGAAAGAUAGCCCAUAAAGUCACGGGAAUGAUUGGAUAAUUGGUUUAUAUGGAUCCUUCCUGUGUGAAAGCACAGAGAACAAUGACAUUGCCAAAAAUUGACAAGGUAAAAUUUCCAUUUAUUCAUCAAAAGAAACGUCCCUUUUGAAGCCAGAAUGGAUUUUCCUUGAUACCUAACAUAAUGCAUGAAAGGAUCCUUGAAUAACCAUAGGGUAACCUGAAAAUUCCUAGCAAAGACUUCUACAAGACGUUCUAUUUUUCCAUAGAAAUAUAUUCGUUCAAGAAGGGAUCCAAAAGAUGUUGAUCGUAAAUGAGAAGAUUGGUUCCGUAGAAAGACGAAAGUGGAUUCGCAUUCAUAUACAUAAGAAUUAUAUAAGAAGAAGAAGAAUCCUUGAUUUUUUUUAAAAGGAGUAACCGGGCUUCUUUGAAGUAAUAAGACUAUUCAAAUUCCAAUAUUCAUGGAGAAAGAAUCGUAAUAAAUGUAAAGAAGAGGCAUCUUUUACCCAAUAGCGAAGAGUUUGAACCAAGAUUUCCAGAUGAACAGGGUAGGGUAUUAGUAUAUCUAAUACAUAAUUUAGAUGUGAAAAAUUGUCCUCUAAAAAAGGAAAUGUUGAAUGAAUUGAUCGUAAAUUAUAAGAUUUAAAAAUCUUUUUGCCUUCGAAAGAAGAUAAAGAAGAUAUUAAUCGUAGAGAAAACGGAAUUUCCACAAUAAACGCAAAUCCCUCUGAUAUCAUUUGAGAAUACAAACUCUUGUUGCACCCCAAAAAUGAAUUUUUGUUAGAAUCAUUAGUAGAAAUAAGAAAAUGAUUCUGUUGAUACAUUCGAGUAAUUAAACGUUUCACAAUUAGGAAACUUAAUUUAUUGUUAUAACCUGGAUUUUCCAACAAAAUCGACCUAUUUCUAUUUAAACCAUGAUCAUGAGCAAGUGCAUAAAUAUACUCCUGAAAGAUAAGUGGAUAUAGGAAGUUGUGUUGUUGCGAUCUAUCUGGCUGUAAAUAUCUUUGGAUUUCUUCCAUUUGAAAUUCGAUUUGAACCAAAGACGGAAGAUUUUGAGGGUUAUCAAAUGAUACAUAGUGCGAUACAGUUAAAACAAAGUAUUUUAGUAAGAAUAGAUACCUUGGAUACAGGUAAACUUCUCAACGGAUUCUCUAUCAUCUCUUUUUUUUUUCGUUUCGUUUAAUUGGUCUAUGUUAUAGUGUUAUAGGAUAAUAAGAUGGUUAGAAAUCCUUUAUUUUUUCAACCUAAUCGCUCUUUUGACUUCGGAAAAAACUUUCUUUAUCAAUAUACUGUUUCUUCUACACACACAUCUCCGUAAUAGAAAAUGGUAAUAGUUAGGAUUCAUUAAAAAAAUGGAGAAUCCACUCAUGGGACAAGAAACCCUUCCCGCAUCAGGCACUAAUAAAUUUUUAACGUCUAAUUAGAUCGGGAAUCAUUCAAAUUAAGAACAAAAGCUCGUUGCUUUUUCUUUCUUUCCCUAUAAUUUAAUUGAAGCCGCAGCCCUAUCCAUUUAUUCAUUCGACCCAACUUUAUUUUGUUCCGUUCCAAGAAUUCUAACACGGUUUUAUACCCAUCUAGGAACAAUGAAAUAUUCUCAGAACUUUCCGUUGAUACGACAUGCUAUUUUUACCAUUCAUUCCCUUUCAGGAUCAGUCGUGGUCUUCCAAACUUUACCGAGAGUAUGGACGAAUCCCUCACUUCAUCCAUAUGUGUAAAAGAGACUAGCCGCACUUAAAAGCCGAGUACUCUACCGUUGAGUUAGCAACCCGAAGAAAAUAUCGAAGAAAAAUAAAUAAAGAGAUUAGACAAGACAACCAAAAACCAUUGAAGGAAUAAAUCUAAAAAAAUACAUUCACAUUUUCGAAUUAAUUUAAAACAUAAAAUAAAACUAAAUAGAUCCACUUCAUUUAUCACAAUGAAUUAUAUUUGUUCGAUACACUGUUGUCAAUAUAAAUAUUGAAUAGUGAAAAAAAAAAAAGAAAUUUCAAUUGACAACAAUAAAAAAUAUUAAAAAAAAGGACUUGUGUUAGAUUGGCACUACAAAUCUAAUCCAAAUAAAAUAGAUACAAAAAAGUAUAGAUGAGAGAAUAAAUUAAGUGGAAAACAAAACUACAAUUUAUUUAGAUUUAUUUAAUCCAUAAUGGAUU
Molecule: non-coding RNA, 2708 nt
Organism: Nicotiana tabacum (common tobacco)
Lineage: Eukaryota; Viridiplantae; Streptophyta; Magnoliopsida; Solanales; Solanaceae
Source: RefSeq, a predicted model, not a curated record